UGAGGUCUCGUUUGCUAAAUU
This 21-nucleotide microRNA is filed under the name Tribolium castaneum (red flour beetle). Its description in RNAcentral is "tca-miR-11636-5p". Lineage: Eukaryota; Metazoa; Arthropoda; Insecta; Coleoptera; Tenebrionidae. The record is from miRBase by way of RNAcentral.